RNAcentral lists this ribosomal RNA (253 nucleotides) under uncultured bacterium. RNAcentral describes it as "partial 16S ribosomal RNA". It matches the Rfam family "Bacterial small subunit ribosomal RNA", at positions 524 to 776 of the family's 1533-position model. The record is from RNAcentral.
UACGUAGGGUGCAAGCGUUAAUCGGAAUUACUGGGCGUAAAGCGUGCGCAGGCGGUUAUGCAAGACAGAUGUGAAAUCCCCGGGCUCAACCUGGGAACUGCAUUUGUGACUGCAUAGCUAGAGUGCGGCAGAGGGGGAUGGAAUUCCGCGUGUAGCAGUGAAAUGCGUAGAUAUGCGGAGGAACACCGAUGGCGAAGGCAAUCCCCUGGGCCUGCACUGACGCUCAUGCACGAAAGCGUGGGGAGCAAACAGG